GUGUAUGUAAUUUAAAAAAAAUAUCAAGUUGUGACCCUG
This 39-nucleotide transfer RNA is filed under the name Senticolis triaspis. RNAcentral's name for it is "partial tRNA-His". The record is from RNAcentral. Lineage: Eukaryota; Metazoa; Chordata; Lepidosauria; Squamata; Colubridae.